GUCUUUGGAAGUCAUUGCUGGGCUGGAAAGCAACAGCAAGAUCUUCACUAUCUAUGUCCAUGGGUUACUGCAGCUGCAGGCUGGGCAAUACACCUCCAUCUUCGUGGACAACAGCGCCGGAGCUCCCGUCACCAUCCAGAACGGAUCCGACUUCAUGGGAAUGCUGAUGGGAGCGUAGCAGGGAAGGGGAGGAUGGGAACCACAUCCCUGGGAAGGGAAGGAUGGGAACCACACCCCUGCAGUGUAGAUUGGACUGAGGAAAACCCUGCUCUGACCUCAAAAACUGCUCCCUGGGACCGUGGCAUCCUUCCAAACAAGCCAAGAGCCCUUUUUCCCUUCACAGCCCCCCCUCGGCUUUGCUUUCAGAGGCUGCUGCUUCUCCAGGUCCACACCGGGUCAUUUGUCACCCAAAACGUGCUUUUGUCCCUCUGA
Molecule: long non-coding RNA, 432 nt
Organism: Lepidothrix coronata (blue-crowned manakin)
Lineage: Eukaryota; Metazoa; Chordata; Aves; Passeriformes; Pipridae
Exons: 2
Source: RefSeq, a predicted model, not a curated record